This 301-nucleotide ribosomal RNA is filed under the name uncultured bacterium. RNAcentral describes it as "partial 16S ribosomal RNA". It matches the Rfam family "Bacterial small subunit ribosomal RNA", at positions 509 to 807 of the family's 1533-position model. The record is from RNAcentral.
CAGUCGCCGCGGUAAUACGAAGGGUGCAAGCGUUAAUCGGAAUUACUGGGCGUAAAGCGCACGUAGGCGGCUUGGUAAGUUAGAGGUGAAAGCCUGGAGCUCAACUCCAGAAUUGCCUUUAAGACUGCCGAGCUAGCAGGUGAGAGAGGUAAGUGGAAUUCCGAGUGUAGAGGUGAAAUUCGUAGAUAUUCGGAAGAACACCAGUGGCGAAGGCGGCUUACUGGCUCAUACUGGACGCUGAGGUGCGAAAGCGUGGGGAGCAAACAGGAUUAGAUACCCCCGUAGUCCCUGUCUCUUAUAC